UACGUAGGGAGCAAGCGUUGUCCGGAAUCAUUGGGCGUAAAGCGCGCGUAGGUGGCUUCGUAAGUCCGUUGUGAAAGUCAAGGGCUCAACCCUUGAAAGCCGGUUGAUACUGUCGGGCUAGAGUCCGGAAGAGGCGAGUGGAAUUCCCGGUGUAGCGGUGAAAUGCGCAGAUAUCGGGAGGAACACCAAUGGCGAAGGCAGCUCGCUGGGACGGUACUGACGCUGAGACGCGAAGGCGUGGGGAGCAAACAGG
RNAcentral lists this ribosomal RNA (253 nucleotides) under uncultured bacterium. Its description in RNAcentral is "partial 16S ribosomal RNA". It matches the Rfam family "Bacterial small subunit ribosomal RNA", at positions 524 to 776 of the family's 1533-position model. The record is from RNAcentral.